CAGGCCUAACACAUGCAAGUCGAACGAGAGACUCUUCGGAGUAGUAAAGUGGCGAACGGGUGAGUAAUACAUGGGUAAUCUGCCUUUGAGCGGGGGAUAACCAGCCGAAAGGCUGGCUAAUACCCCAUACGCUUCCGGUCCCUCGGGUAAGGAAGGAAAGCUGCAUCGUGGAUGUGGCACUCGAAGAUGGGCUCAUGGCCUAUCAGCUUGUUGGUGGGGUAACGGCCUACCAAGGCAACGACGGGUAGCUGGUCUGAGAGGACGAUCAGCCACACUGGCACUGAGAUACGGGCCAGACUCCUACGGGAGGCAGCAGUGAGGAAUAUUGCGCAAUGGGCGAAAGCCUGACGCAGCGACGCCGCGUGGGGGAAGAAGGUUUUCGGAUUGUAAACCCCUUUUAGGAGGAAAGAUGGGGUGGGUUUCCACCCGGACGGUACCUCCAGAAAAAGCCACGGCUAACUCCGUGCCAGCAGCCGCGGUAAUACGGAGGGUGCGAGCGUUAAUCAGAAUUACUGGGCGUAAAGGGCGAGUAGGUGGUACGGUCAGUCGGGUGUGAAAGCCCCGGGCUCAACCUGGGAAUUGCAUUCGAUACUGCCGAGCUGGAGUGUGGUAGAGGGAAGCGGAAUUCCGGGUGUAGCGGUGAAAUGCGUAGAUAUCCGGAGGAACACCAGUGGCGAAGGCGGCUUCCUGGACCAACACUGACACUGAGUCGCGAAAGCGUGGGGAGCA
RNAcentral lists this ribosomal RNA (729 nucleotides) under uncultured bacterium. RNAcentral describes it as "bacterial SSU rRNA". It matches the Rfam family "Bacterial small subunit ribosomal RNA", at positions 43 to 770 of the family's 1533-position model. The record is from RNAcentral.